This 511-nucleotide ribosomal RNA is filed under the name uncultured Rhizophagus. Its description in RNAcentral is "SSU rRNA". It matches the Rfam family "Eukaryotic small subunit ribosomal RNA", at positions 34 to 1088 of the family's 1831-position model. Lineage: Eukaryota; Fungi; Glomeromycota; Glomeromycetes; Glomerales; Glomeraceae. The record is from RNAcentral.
UUCAGCCCUCAUCAGCUCAUAGCGUAUAUUAAAGUUGUUGCAGUUAAAAAGCUCGUAGUUGAAUUUCGGGGUUAGUAGGCUGGUCAUGCCACCGGUAUGCACUGGUCUUACUGAUUCCUCCUUCCUGAUGAACUGUAAUGCCAUUAAUUUGGUGUUGCGGGGAAUCUGGACUGUUACUUUGAAAAAAUUAGAGUGUUUAAAGCAGGCUAACGCUUGAAUACAUUAGCAUGGAAUAAUGAAAUAGGACGUUCGAUCCUAUUUUGUUGGUUUCUAGGAUUGACGUAAUGAUUAAUAGGGAUAGUUGGGGGCAUUAGUAUUCAAUUGUCAGAGGUGAAAUUCUUGGAUUUAUUGAAGACUAACUACUGCGAAAGCAUUUGCCAAGGAUGUUUUCAUUAAUCAAGAACGAAAGUUAGGGGAUCGAAGACGAUCAGAUACCGUCGUAGUCUUAACCAUAAACUAUGCCGACUAGGGAUCGGAUGAUGUUAAUUUUUUAAUGACUCAUUCGGCGCCU